This 562-nucleotide ribosomal RNA is filed under the name uncultured bacterium. Its description in RNAcentral is "bacterial SSU rRNA". It matches the Rfam family "Bacterial small subunit ribosomal RNA", at positions 224 to 783 of the family's 1533-position model. The record is from RNAcentral.
GAUGGGCAUGCGUCUGAUUAGGUAGUUGGUAGGGUAACGGCCUACCAAGCCGACGAUCAGUAGGGGUUCUGAGAGGAUUACCCCCCACACUGGUACUGAGACACGGACCAGACUCCUACGGGAGGCAGCAGUGAGGAAUAUUGGUCAAUGGGCGAGAGCCUGAACCAGCCAUCCCGCGUGCAGGAUGACGGCCCUAUGGGUUGUAAACUGCUUUUCUGUUCGAAGAAAUCUUCCGACGUGUCGGGAGUUGACGGUAGAGCAGGAAUAAGCAUCGGCUAACUCCGUGCCAGCAGCCGCGGUAAUACGGAGGAUGCAAGCGUUAUCCGGAUUCAUUGGGUUUAAAGGGUGCGCAGGUGGGAAUGUAAGUCAGUGGUGAAAUACUGCCGCUUAACGGUAGAACUGCCAUUGAUACUGCGCUUCUUGAGUAUGGUUGAGGUAGGUGGAAUGUGUUGUGUAGCGGUGAAAUGCAUAGAUAUGACACAGAACGCCGAUUGCGAAGGCAGCUUACUAAGCCAUUACUGACGCUGAGGCACGAAAGCGUGGGGAUCGAACAGGAUUAGAU